CUGUGGUUCCCUCACUUUUAGGGAACCCCUUCUUUGGUCUGCUCUUUAUCAGGGAUGGACAGGCAGGGCGUUGCUUGUUUGUGUAUACAGAUGAGUAGAAGGGAGUCUGCGAGAUCUCCCGGAUGGGUCGGGGGUGCUCCCAGCUCAGAGACUCCAGCUCUGCCCCUGAGGGAUAAGGAAGGGUCUUGGAUUCUGCAGUGGUGAGUCUGCUUUCCUCUCCCUUCUCUUCAUUCUUUCAAGUCUUUUUACUUUCCCACAUUCAUUAGAUAAUCUCCUCCAACUCCUUUUUUUUUUUCUUAUUUGUUAGAACAUCUUAGAGGAUAAAAUGGGGUAACAGCUAACUGUUUUUUAAGGAACAUGUGUUUUAUUUAAGACUCUUACUUAAUAACUGUUGUCAUCAUUAUUAAUAUCACAGCCCUAACUAUUUGCUGGGUCUUGUGCUAUAUGAUUUCAGACUGAUCAUUUGUAAAUUUGUAGGAUCUUCUUUUUUCUUGGCACUGGGAAUCUAACACACGACUUUGCGCUUGCCAGGCAGGCACCUAUGCCAUUGAGCUAAAUCCCUGGCCCUUGUAGGAUCUUUUUAAAUUGUUUGGGAUUGGCAAGGAAAUGUGUG
This 613-nucleotide long non-coding RNA is filed under the name Cavia porcellus (domestic guinea pig). Its description in RNAcentral is "lncRNA (ENSCPOG00000034473.1)". Lineage: Eukaryota; Metazoa; Chordata; Mammalia; Rodentia; Caviidae. The record is from RNAcentral.